AGAGGGUGCGAGCGUUGUCCGGAAUUACUGGGCGUAAAGGGCGCGUAGGCGGUUCGGUAAGUAGGGGGUGAAAUGCUGCGGCUCAACCGCAGCCCUGCCUUCUAAACUGCCGGACUCGAGUAUAGCAGAGGCAGGUGGAAUUCCCGGUGUAGCGGUGGAAUGCGUAGAGAUCGGGAAGAACAUCGGUGGCGAAGGCGGCCUGCUGGGCUAUUACUGACGCUGAGGCGCGAUAGCGUGGGGAGCAACCAGGAUUAGAUACCCUGGUAGUCCACGCCGUAAACGAUGGGUACUAGGCGCUGGGGGGAGCGACCCCCUCGGUGCCGUCGCUAACGCAAUAAGUACCCCGCCUGGGGAGUACGGCCGCAAGGCUG
This 371-nucleotide ribosomal RNA is filed under the name uncultured bacterium. RNAcentral's name for it is "bacterial SSU rRNA". It matches the Rfam family "Bacterial small subunit ribosomal RNA", at positions 527 to 896 of the family's 1533-position model. The record is from RNAcentral.